This is a long non-coding RNA of Erinaceus europaeus (western European hedgehog), 852 nucleotides long. RefSeq lists it as uncharacterized. Lineage: Eukaryota; Metazoa; Chordata; Mammalia; Eulipotyphla; Erinaceidae. The transcript is spliced from 2 exons. The record is from RefSeq and is a predicted model, not a curated record.
UUAGAGAAGAUUCCAGGGAAUCUUUUAAAUUUUUUUAUAUAUUAUUUUAUGUAUUUUAUUUAUUGCAUAGAGAUAGAAACCAAAAGGGAAAGGAGAGAUAGAGAAGAUGAAAAAUAACCUGCAGCACUGCUUCUCCACUGCGUGUGAGGAUUGAACCUGGGUCCAUGUACAUUGUAACCUGUGGCUUGAACCUGGGUCAGCUCUAUAAAGUGUGCCACUCCCUGGCCCCCCAGAGAAUCUUAUAUUAAAGAUACUAUACAGUGGUGGGAUAGAUAGCAUAAUUAUUAUGCAAAAAGACUCUUAUGCCUGAGGUUUUGAAAUCCCAGGCUCAAUCCCAUUAAGCCUGAACUGAACAAUACUCUGGCUAUAAAAAGGGGGGGCAGGUGGUAACAUAGCGGGUUAAGUGCAUAUGGCACAAAGUGCAAGGACCAGCAUAAGGAUCCCUGUUCGAGCCUCCAGCUCCCACCUACAAGCAGUGAAGCAGGUCUGCAGAUAAUCUAUCUUUGUCUUCCCCUCUCUUUCUUCCUCCUCCUCUCUCAGUUUCUCUCUGUCCUAUCCAACAACAAUGACAGCAAUAACAAUAGUAAUAGCAACAACAACGAUAAGCUGUAAGGGCAACAAAUGGGAAAAAAUGGCCUCCAGGAGCAAUGGAUUCGUAAUGCAGGCACAGAGACCCAGCGAUAACCCUGGAGGGAAAAAAAAGGAAGCAGGGGAAGCAUUACUUUGGUACAUGUAGAUCGAACUCAGGGAUUCAUGCUUGAGAAUACAAUACCUUGCCCACUGUACCACCUGGACGUUGAAAAUGCAUAUAUUAUGAAAAAGUUUUUAUCUUGGAACAAGGACUAAAAACUG